RNAcentral lists this transfer RNA (94 nucleotides) under Clostridia bacterium. Its description in RNAcentral is "tRNA-Ser". It matches the Rfam family "tRNA". Rfam says of the family: Transfer RNA (tRNA) molecules are approximately 80 nucleotides in length. Their secondary structure includes four short double-helical elements and three loops (D, anti-codon, and T loops). Further hydrogen bonds mediate the characteristic L-shaped molecular structure. tRNAs have two regions of fundamental functional importance: the anti-codon, which is responsible for specific mRNA codon recognition, and the 3' end, to which the tRNAs corresponding amino acid is attached (by aminoacyl-tRNA synthetases). tRNAs cope with the degeneracy of the genetic code in two manners: having more than one tRNA (with a specific anti-codon) for a particular amino acid; and 'wobble' base-pairing, i.e. permitting non-standard base-pairing at the 3rd anti-codon position. Lineage: Bacteria; Bacillati; Bacillota; Clostridia. The record is from RNAcentral.
GGAGAAGUACCCAAGCAGGUCGAUGGGGACGGUUUGCUAAACCGUUAGGCUGGUGAAUGCCGGCGCCGGGGUUCAAAUCCCCGCUUCUCCGCCA